This 564-nucleotide ribosomal RNA is filed under the name uncultured bacterium. RNAcentral describes it as "partial 16S ribosomal RNA". It matches the Rfam family "Bacterial small subunit ribosomal RNA", at positions 355 to 912 of the family's 1533-position model. The record is from RNAcentral.
UGGGGAAUUUUGGACAAUGGGGGAAACCCUGAUCCAGCCAUCCCGCGUGUGCGAUGAAGGCCUUCGGGUUGUAAAGCACUUUUGGCAGGAAAGAAACGUCGCGGGUUAAUACCCCGCGAAACUGACGGUACCUGCAGAAUAAGCACCGGCUAACUACGUGCCAGCAGCCGCGGUAAUACGUAGGGUGCAAGCGUUAAUCGGAAUUACUGGGCGUAAAGCGUGCGCAGGCGGUUCGGAAAGAAAGAUGUGAAAUCCCAGAGCUUAACUUUGGAACUGCAUUUUUAACUACCGGGCUAGAGUGUGUCAGGGGGAGGUGGAAUUCCGCGUGUAGCAGUGAAAUGCGUAGAUAUGCGGAGGAACACCGAUGGCGAAGGCAGCCUCCUGGGAUAACACUGACGCUCAUGCACGAAAGCGUGGGGAGCAAACAGGAUUAGAUACCCUGGUAGUCCACGCCCUAAACGAUGUCAACUAGCUGUUGGGGCCUUCGGGCCUUGGUAGCGCAGCUAACGCGUGAAGUUGACCGCCUGGGGAGUACGGUCGCAAGAUUAAAACUUAAAGGAAUUG